This 825-nucleotide long non-coding RNA is filed under the name Mytilus galloprovincialis (Mediterranean mussel). The record is from RNAcentral. Lineage: Eukaryota; Metazoa; Mollusca; Bivalvia; Mytilida; Mytilidae.
CAAACGACAACCACUGACUUGCAAGCUCUUGACUUGGGACAGGCACAUACAUACAGAAUGUGGCGGGAUUAAACAUGUCAUCGGAAUAACAACAAUCCCCUAAUCUGGGACAAUGGUGUAACAGUACAAUAUAAGAACAACAUGCGCGAAUCAUUGCAAUUAGACAAAAGAAACCGGCCAACUAACAUUAAGACAAAAGACUCAACGCAUCGAACUAAGAGUAUUUGCAAUUACUGGAAGUUUAUUCAAAGCUAGUGAUACUAGUACAGCAAUAAAUCUUGUUUCCCCAGACUGAAGUAUCAUCAGUACAUAACCAACUGUUUUAUUAAAAAAAAAUCUAGUAACUGCUAGCUUUAUAUAUAGUCCUUUGUUAAUUCAUUAUCAUUGUCAUUUUGAUUAGUUUCUUUUGUUUCCUAUUCUGACAUAUGACUUGUAUUUCCUUUUCAAGUGCGUUUUACUGUUCAUAUUACUGUGUGUUUUUCAUUCUUUAUUUUUUUUUGAUAGAUGCACAACCUUAAAAUUUCAGUAUACUGUUAUCCCAUGUGAUGUCUAAUAUGUUUUAAGAAAAAUAAAUGACUUCUUCUUUUCAUUAUUUAUUUUGUAAUUAAAAAUGAUUUGAUAUAUUUCGUGCUAUUUAUUUAUAACUAAGAAUGACUAUUAUCGGAGCCUUGUUUACAUCAGUGUUUACAGAUAUCCCUCUUUUCGCCCCUUUUCUAUUUUGAUAUUUAAUCAAAAAUUUAGAAAAUCAAACUUUCAAAAAGUGAAAUAAUCAAAAUUGCACAUAAGGUUUAAUAUUUUAGAAUUUUGAUCAAAUUCCUAAACUAU